Molecule: ribosomal RNA, 253 nt
Filed under: uncultured bacterium
Lineage: Bacteria
Description: partial 16S ribosomal RNA
Rfam family: Bacterial small subunit ribosomal RNA
Source: RNAcentral
UACGUAGGGGGCAAGCGUUGUCCGGAAUUAUUGGGCGUAAAGAGCGCGUAGGCGGUCCGAUAAGUCGGCUGUGAAAGUCAGGGGCUCAACCCUUGAAAGCCGGCCGAUACUGUCGGACUAGAGUCCGGAAGAGGCAAGUGGAAUUCCCGGUGUAGCGGUGAAAUGCGCAGAUAUCGGGAGGAACACCAAUUGCGAAGGCAGCUCGCUGGGACGUCACUGACGCUGAGACGCGAAAGCGUGGGGAGCAAACAGG